UGGGGAAUUUUGGACAAUGGGGGAAACCCUGAUCCAGCAAUGCCGCGUGAGUGAAGAAGGCCUUCGGGUUGUAAAGCUCUUUUGUCAGGGAAGAAACACCGGCUCUAACACAGUCCGGGAAUGACGGUACCUGAAGAAUAAGCACCGGCUAACUACGUGCCAGCAGCCGCGGUAAUACGUAGGGUGCGAGCGUUAAUCGGAAUUACUGGGCGUAAAGCGUGCGCAGGCGGUUAUACCAGACCGGCGUGA
RNAcentral lists this ribosomal RNA (249 nucleotides) under uncultured Polynucleobacter sp. Its description in RNAcentral is "partial 16S ribosomal RNA". It matches the Rfam family "Bacterial small subunit ribosomal RNA", at positions 355 to 597 of the family's 1533-position model. The record is from RNAcentral. Lineage: Bacteria; Pseudomonadati; Pseudomonadota; Betaproteobacteria; Burkholderiales; Burkholderiaceae.